AGAUUCAUUUUUAUGACUUCUUUGAAUCGUCUCCCUCAUCUCAUUCCUGAAAAAUUCAAACCCUAAUAUUUCCCUCUGUCGAUCCUGUGAUGGCAUAUCUUUCUCGUCUUCGUUUCAGUUCUUUACUUAACCACCGUCGUUACUUCUCAUCAAUUCUGAAUCCAGAUUCAUCAACUCCAUUAACCAGUAAACAAAAAUCAAAAGCCGCUUUAUCACUCCUUAAAUCAGAAAAAAACCCAGAAAAAAUCCUCGAUAUUUGUCGUGCUGCUUCUCUCCAUCCUGAUUACCCUCUCGAUCGAACCGCUUUCGUAGUCGCAAUCUCCAAACUGACUGAUUCAAAAUCAUUUGAAGGAAUCCGUUGCUACUUAGAAGAAUUAAAAGCUCGUCCUGAUCUUAAAAAUGAACGUUUUCAUUGUAAUGCUAUUGUUUACUAUGGUCGCGCUGGGAUGCUUGAUCAUUCCAUCAAGACAUUUCAAGAGAUGGGGGAUCUUGGUAUCACUGCGACAACAAAAUCUUUGAAUUCUCUACUUUCGGCUUGCAUUGCUUCCAAAAAGUAUGAUGAGGUGAAUCGUAUUUUCCUUGAGUAUCCUGAUAGUUAUAAUCUAAAACCCGAUGUUGAUACAUAUAAUGCUGUGAUUAAGGGUUUUUGUGAGUCUGGUUCUAGUAAUUCUGUUUAUUCAUUGUUAGAUGAAAUGGAGAAAAAAGGGUGUAAGCCUAAUAGUACUACUUUUGGGACUAUAUUUACUGGGAUUUACAAAGAGAAAAAGUUUGAAGAUGUUGAGAAAGUAUUAGAAAUUAUGAAGAAACAUGGUGUGUCUCAGGGUGUUGCUAUUUAUAAUAUUAGGAUUCUUGGUUUAUGUAAAUAUAAGAGCGCUUCUGAAGGGAAAGCUUUGUUUGAAGAAAUGCUGUUAAGAGGUGUAAAACCGAAUGCGGUGUCUUUUCACCAUCUUAUCCAUGGGUUUAGCAAGGAACGUAAAUUCGAGGAAGCAAAGAGGUUGCUUAAUGAUAUGGCAAAGCAUGGUUGUGCCCCUAAUAAUGAUUGUUAUUUUAGCUUAGUUUAUUAUCUAUGCCAAGGAGGUGAUUUCGUAGGCGCAUUAGAGUUCUGUAAGGAGAGUAUGUCUAAAGGAUGGUUUCCAAAUUUCUCGACUAUGAAGAUGCUUGUUAAUGGACUUGUAAGUAGUUCAAAGGUCGAUGAAGCUAAGGAUCUUAUUGGACAAGUAAAGGAGAAAUUCCCAAACAAAGCUGAUCAGUGGAAGGACAUCGAAGAGGGAUUACCGCAGUAAGAAGUGGUACAUUUAUUCGUUGAAAGUUUCGGGAAGCGGCGGAAAUAAGAGCUUUAGAACAAUUUUGUUAUUAUAUUGUAUUUGUUGAGUCAUUCUACCCUUCUAAAAUCUUAGCAUACUCUGCUGAAAACAGCUCCUUCAAUGUCUGUGAGGAAGGUACAUGACUGAGGCAAUUCUGUUUUCCAUCUCCACAUGUUGCAACACUUAGCCAAGUUUGGUGGUUCAUGUGACCGUAUGGAGUUAUCAUCCAGAUAUUGUUUUUUUUGUGUGAUCUGAUUAUUCAUAGCAUCUGACAAUAAGGUACAUGACUGAGGCAAUUCUGUUUUCCAUCUCCACAUGUUGCAACAAUUAGCCAAGUUUGGUGGUUCAUGUGACCGUAUGGAGUUAUCAUCCAGAUAUUGUUUUUUUUGUGUGAUCUGAUUAUACAUAGCAUCUGACAAUAAGGUAUCAUUUGUAGUUGCUGUUGAUAUGCUUGACAGUUCUUAAUCUUAGCUGUCCCUGUUGUCUUAGUAGACAAACAAUAAGCAGUCUUUAGCAUUGAAAAGAAGUUGGUUUGGUAGAUACCUCUUCGUUCAAGAGUUUCGAAGACUACUUAGGCAGUCUUUAACUCCAUUAUGGCUCAAUACCAUUUUUUUAUCAGUUCAUAGUGACUAGUGAGGCUGGUUGAAGCCUUGGUCCAGAGAUGAGGUACAUUUGGGGAUUUUCUCCCACAUAAGUCAACAAGAGGUUUAUCUUACAAACUCAGAUCAAUAUUACUAGCUCCUGCCUGAGAAGCUAUGCAAUACAGCUCCAGAAAGAUAAAUAUUAAAGAGGCCGUUUAUCUGACAAACUCAGAUCAAUGUUACUAGUUCCUGUCUGAGAAGCUAUACAACGAAGACACCCCUUGGGGAACAAGGUUUAUUAAUACAUUCUUCUCUGAUUGUGUCAUUCGAAGCAUACAAACUCUUUACAGGUGUAUCUUCUUAACUUGGAACUGAACAAUUGUUUACUAAGUAUUGCUAUAGCUAUAUGCUAAAUACUCACAUGACGCACUUCAUGAAAGUUCACCUUUCGUGAUAACCCUUAGAUACUGGGUAUUCAAAGUGAAUGACUUUGCUCAAAGAAAGAUUAAAAAGGUUUACACAAUUACAAAACAGUCUUGCACUUUCUACAUAUCUUGUGCGACGAAGUGCUUCAGCAGAAUCAGCAUAGCCGACAUCAUUGCGGUAUGAGUUUAUCUUGUUUCUACUAUUCUAAGAUCAUCUCAGGUUCCUCCCAAGAAAAGUGUAAAGAGAGUGUAAAGAUGAUACAAGGAGAUUCUUACUUUAUUCUUCUCAGUGUCCCUCUGUCAGUAAUAUCCAAGAUACAGAAAUUUUUAGUUAGUGUUUCUGAAUUAGGGCUUCCAAUACUAACAAAUCAAUCCUUUACUCUGUUGUUACAAUUGAGGAAGAAGAAGAGCAGGAGAUGGGGAUUAUGGCAUCAGAGCUGCAAUGUUGGAUUUCAGUGAUAUCUCUUCCAAUUUCUUCAAGUUCAAGGAGAAACCCUAAGCUAUCUGUGAG
RNA transcript from Papaver somniferum (opium poppy), 2821 nucleotides. It is a transcript of the gene named pentatricopeptide repeat-containing protein At1g61870, mitochondrial-like, with no coding region annotated. NCBI's taxonomy places the organism in Eukaryota, Viridiplantae, Streptophyta, Magnoliopsida, Ranunculales, Papaveraceae. The record is from RefSeq and is a predicted model, not a curated record. The transcript has 4 exons.